CUAAGGGCGUCGAAGGGGAAUAGUAGGCGGCCCGAUCCUUCCAGAGAGCCGGCGGUCGCUGCGAGCCGGCAGGAUCGGGCUGCCGAACUCACCCCCGAGUCUGCAUCACCGGCACGCAGUUGCCGGGCGGUGCCGUUUUCCGCGUUAAGGAUGAGCUGGACGGCUUGCCGUCAAUGUGGGUGGCACCGCGGGAGAAUCGACUCUCGUCCCUGAC
This 214-nucleotide non-coding RNA is filed under the name Bhargavaea cecembensis. RNAcentral's name for it is "T-box sequence". It matches the Rfam family "T-box leader". Rfam says of the family: Uncharged tRNA acts as the effector for transcription antitermination of genes in the T-box leader family. T-boxes are found upstream of many aminoacyl-tRNA synthetase genes and some amino acid biosynthetic genes usually in Gram-positive bacteria. The anticodon of a specific tRNA base pairs to a specifier sequence within the T-box motif, and the NCCA acceptor tail of the tRNA base pairs to a conserved bulge in the T-box antiterminator hairpin. The record is from RNAcentral. Lineage: Bacteria; Bacillati; Bacillota; Bacilli; Caryophanales; Caryophanaceae.